RNAcentral lists this ribosomal RNA (407 nucleotides) under uncultured bacterium. RNAcentral describes it as "partial 16S ribosomal RNA". It matches the Rfam family "Bacterial small subunit ribosomal RNA", at positions 28 to 526 of the family's 1533-position model. The record is from RNAcentral.
GACGAACGCUGGCGGCGUGCCUAAUACAUGCAAGUAGAACGCAGUUGCGAACGGGUGAGUAACGCGUAGGUAACUGCCUGGUAGCGGGGGAUAACAAUUGGAAACGAUAGCUAAUAACGCAUACUACCAGACGGACCUGCGUUGUAUUAGCUAGUUGGUGGGGUAACGGCUCACCAAGGCAACGAUAAAUAGCCGACCUGAGAGGGUGAACGGCCACACUGGGACUGGGACACGGCCCAGACUCCUACGGGAGGCAGCAGUAGGGAAUCUUCGGCAAUGGGGGGAAGCCUGACCGAGCAACGCCGCGUGAGUGAGGAAGGUUUUCGGGUCGUAAAGCUCUGUUGUUAAGGAAGCGGUACCUAACCAGAAAGGGACGGCUAACUACGUGCCAGCAGCCGCGGUAAUAC